Molecule: long non-coding RNA, 1669 nt
Organism: Rhincodon typus (whale shark)
Lineage: Eukaryota; Metazoa; Chordata; Chondrichthyes; Orectolobiformes; Rhincodontidae
Exons: 4
Source: RefSeq, a predicted model, not a curated record
CACACAGCUCCAUCACCUGAGACAAAAGGAACUGAAACAAGCAUCACCCCGCUGCCAAAUACUACCCAAACAUCAGAUACAUUCAGUGCCUAUUCUUGGAUUGUGCCAAUGGUUGUGUUAUUUCUGUUCCUGUUGCCCCUGACUGGUUUCCUGGUGAGGUUUCUGAUGAAGAAGGGAUUGAUAUGCACUAGAGCAAGGAAAACAACUUCGACAACAGAGGCAUUGUCUGCUCUAAGAACAGACAUUGACCUCUCCACAAGACUACAAGAUCCACUUCCAAAUACCGCAGUCUGACAGUCUGACCAGGUUCACAGCGGAUGCCAUUUCCCAAGCCCUGCACUUUUCCCUGGAACAUCUAGAAAAUGAGGACAUCCAUGUCAGACUCCUACUUAUGGACUACAGCUCCAUCUUCAACACAAUAACCCGCUCCAGACUAAUAUCAAGACUCCAAACCGAGGUCUUGACUCCACCUUCUGCAACUGAAUCCUCAGCUUCUUAACCCAUAGACCAAAAUCAGUGAAGACUGGAGAACUGCAUCUCCUCCACAACAAUCCUCAAUGCUGGCACCCCUCCAGGAUGCAUUCUCAACCCCCUCCUGUUCCCCCUGUACAACCAUGACUGUGUAGCCAAAUUCCAAGUGAAUGCCAUCUGCAAGUUUGCUGAUAACAUGUUGGUGUCAGACUGGAUAUCAAACAACGAUGAGUCAGAAUGCAGAAAGGAGAGAGGGCUUGGUGUGAUGGUGAAAUGAUAACAAGCCUUCACUGUCAGCAAAACAAAAGAACUGAUCAUUCCUAUCAGGAAGAAAGGUGGAGAGCGUGCUCCCAUCCACAUCAAAGGAGCUGAGCUGGAGACGUUUGAGAGCAUCACGUUCUUCGGAGUAACGAUAACCAACAAUCUGUCCUGGACUUACCAUGUUGUUAUGGCAGUCAAGAAGGCACAACAACACCUCUUCUUCCUCAUGGAGCUUAGGAAAUUUGGCAGGGCCAUGAGGACCCUCUCCAACUUCUAUAAAUGCAUCAUAGAAAGCAUUCUAUCCAGGUGCAUAACAGCCUAGUACAGCAACUGCUCUGCUUAGGACUGUAAAAAAGACUACAGAAGGUUGUGUACAUAGCCCAGACCAUCACAGAAGCCAACCUCCCAUCCAUGGACUCCAGUUACAUGGCUCUCUGCUUCAGAAAGGCUGCCAAUAUCAUCACAGACCCUUUCCACCCUGCUAAUGCUCUCCUACAACCUCUUCCAUCAGGAAGAAGAUACCGGAGCUUAAACACAUGCACCAACAGGUUCAAGAACAGCUUCUUUCCUGCUAUUAUUUGACAGAUGCAUGGACUGUGUAACUUCAAAUAAAGUUGGUCUUGAUAAUGUUGAUCUUGCCUAGCGCACCUCCUGUGCAGUGUAACCUGUGUGCCUCAUUCUGUCUGAGCACCCUAUGUUCUGCAUGUCCUCAUUUGCAAUGAUCUACCUGUACUGCUCGCACCUAAGCUCUUCACUGUACUUAGGUACAUGUGACAAUAAAUCAAAUCAAAUAUUUGUGCUUAUUGAUUGCCACUCUUAAUUAUCUUGCCAUUAUUUCUCUGCCUACAUAUUCUGUGCUGAGUGCCUCUCCACUUCAUCUGCCAAAGGAGUAGUGUUCUGAAAGAUUGUGAUUUUAAAUAAACCUGUUAGACUAUAA